RNAcentral lists this ribosomal RNA (620 nucleotides) under Rhizobium sp. RNAcentral's name for it is "bacterial SSU rRNA". It matches the Rfam family "Bacterial small subunit ribosomal RNA", at positions 83 to 739 of the family's 1533-position model. Lineage: Bacteria; Pseudomonadati; Pseudomonadota; Alphaproteobacteria; Hyphomicrobiales; Rhizobiaceae. The record is from RNAcentral.
CCCGCAAGGGGAGCGGCAGACGGGUGAGUAACGCGUGGGAAUCUACCGUGCCUACGGAAUAGCUCCGGGAAACUGGAAUUAAUACCGUAUACGCCCUACGGGGGAAAGAUUUAUCGGGGUAUGAUGAGCCCGCGUUGGAUUAGCUAGUUGGUGGGGUAAAGGCCUACCAAGGCGACGAUCCAUAGCUGGUCUGAGAGGAUGAUCAGCCACAUUGGGACUGAGACACGGCCCAAACUCCUACGGGAGGCAGCAGUGGGGAAUAUUGGACAAUGGGCGCAAGCCUGAUCCAGCCAUGCCGCGUGAGUGAUGAAGGUCUUAGGAUUGUAAAGCUCUUUCACCGGAGAAGAUAAUGACGGUAUCCGGAGAAGAAGCCCCGGCUAACUUCGUGCCAGCAGCCGCGGUAAUACGAAGGGGGCUAGCGUUGUUCGGAAUUACUGGGCGUAAAGCGCACGUAGGCGGAUAUUUAAGUCAGGGGUGAAAUCCCAGAGCUCAACUCUGGAACUGCCUUUGAUACUGGGUAUCUUGAGUAUGGAAGAGGUGAGUGGAAUUCCGAGUGUAGAGGUGAAAUUCGUAGAUAUUCGGAGGAACACCAGUGGCGAAGGCGGCUCACUGGUCCAUUA